GAUGAAGAACGUAGCGAAAUGCGAUAACUAAUGUGAAUUGCAGAAUUCAGUGAAUCAUCGAGUCUUUGAACGCACAUUGCGCCCCCUGGUAUUCCGGGGGGCAUGCCUGUCCGAGCGUCAUUGCUGCCCUCAAGCACGGCUUGUGUGUUGGGCUCCGUCCCCCCGGGGACGGGCCCGAAAGGCAGCGGCGGCACCGAGUCCGGUCCUCGAGCGUAUGGGGCUUUGUCACCCGCUCUGUAGGCCCGGCCGGCGCCAGCCGACAACCCAUCAUCCUUGUCAGGUUGACCUCGGAUCAGGUAGGGAUACCCGCUGAACUUAAGCAUAUCAAUAAGCGGAGGA
This 339-nucleotide unclassified non-coding RNA is filed under the name soil metagenome. RNAcentral describes it as "partial contains 5.8S ribosomal RNA, internal transcribed spacer 2, and large subunit ribosomal RNA". The stretch from base 1 to 120 matches the Rfam family "5.8S ribosomal RNA", at positions 35 to 154 of the family's 154-position model. The record is from RNAcentral.